Lingula anatina is the source of this 467-nucleotide long non-coding RNA. Lineage: Eukaryota; Metazoa; Brachiopoda; Lingulata; Lingulida; Lingulidae. The record is from RefSeq and is a predicted model, not a curated record.
GUUGCGUAAGAUAGCAAGCCUCUUAGUGGAGAACUUAUUUCAGAGAUUUCAAUCUUUUGCUAGGACUGCUUCAUUGGAGAAAAAUGAUGUCGUGCGCCGUUCUUGUGCUUUUGGUGCUCUUUGCCAGUGUUGCCAUAGAAGACACAGCCGGGCAAAUUGCGUAUGAAGCUACGUGCAACUGCUGUGGUCAGACUUGUAGUAGCGACCAUGGGAGUUGCUACUGCGUCGGAACGUACCCCAACUGCCGCUGUGGUGCAAUCGAUCACACGAAAUAAAAGAAUAGCCAGCCUCUCGUCGAGAGGAAGCUUGACCAGUUGAACAUACAGAAGAAAACAAGAAACUAGUCACUCAGCUAAAUGUAAAGCUGGUGUAUUUGGACAUUUUUGUGAAUUUAGAGUUCAACAAUAAGUGGUCAUAAUAAAGCUUGUAGUAAACACGCUGUAUUUACUGCAUAGCCAAAGCUUUAA